CAGCCGCCACGGUAAUACGGAGGGGGCUAGCGUUGUUCGGAAUCACUGGGCGUAAAGCGCACGUAGGCGGCUUUGCAAGUCAGAGGUGUAAGCCUGGAGCUCAACUCCAGAAUCGCCUUUGAGACUGCAUCGCUUGAACACGGGAGAGGUGAGUGGAAUUCCGAGUGUAGCGGUGAAAUGCGUAGAUAUCGGAAGGAACACCUGUGGCGAAAGCGGCUCACCGGACAAUAACUGACGCUGAUGCACGAAAGCUAGGGGAGCAAACAGGAUUAGAUACCCCCGUAGUCCCUGUCUCUUAUAA
This 301-nucleotide ribosomal RNA is filed under the name uncultured bacterium. RNAcentral describes it as "partial 16S ribosomal RNA". It matches the Rfam family "Bacterial small subunit ribosomal RNA", at positions 509 to 809 of the family's 1533-position model. The record is from RNAcentral.